This 245-nucleotide ribosomal RNA is filed under the name uncultured Clostridia bacterium. RNAcentral describes it as "partial 16S ribosomal RNA". It matches the Rfam family "Bacterial small subunit ribosomal RNA", at positions 796 to 1041 of the family's 1533-position model. Lineage: Bacteria; Bacillati; Bacillota; Clostridia. The record is from RNAcentral.
CACGCCGUAAACGCUGAUUACUAGGUGUAGGGGGUAUAGACUCCCUCUGUGCCGCAGUUAACGCAUUAAGUAUUCCACCUGGGGAGUACGGCCGCAAGGCUGAAACUCAAAGGAAUUGACGGGGACCCGCACAAGCAGUGGAGUAUGUGGUUUAAUUCGACGCAACGCGAAGAACCUUACCAAGGCUUGACAUCCUCUGACCGCUGUAGAAAUACAGCUUCUCUUCGGAGCAGAGAGACAGGUGG